GCUGACACCAAGGCUCUUAUACUGAAGAUAGCCCUAUCCUCAUCUUAAGCUAGCCAUUGAAACAACACUUCCUCUCUUUCCAUUAUAUAUAUUCUACCUAGAAUGCAAAAGUUAUAUAUAGAGAGGCCAUUGUUAUGUUGUUUGCAUGUCGAAAAUUGUGCGGUAAUAGAGCAAGCCGGUGAAAUUACAGGGCAACAGUAGUGACUCAGUACUUCAUUUUUAGCUUUCGUUAAACAGCUCUCAUGGCUUCUACAGAUGUCAUGUUGUCUUCGCCAGUGGCCAGCGAUGGCUUGAAGAGCAAGUUCUUGGCGAGCCUUGCACUAGCAGUAGUACAGGCACCUGCAGAUGCCAGCAGCAGCAAAAGGCAGCAGGUGAAGAUCGCUACCAAGCAGCAGCAGAUGAAACCGCGGUUUGCCCUGGAAUUGGACGUGCUCAACUGCUUCGACACUCUAGUCUCUCUCUGAUCGAUCGGUGAAUCUAUUCACUGGAAUUUUGAUCGAUUCCUUGUGCGUUUUUGUUACAAAUUUCCCCUAUUAAUUAGUUUUGCCCAUACAGAUAUGCAUCCAUCCAUGCACAUGUUUUUCUGUUGGUUCACGACCAGCGAAUGUAGAACUGAAAACAAAUACUGUGAAAUUGAUUGACUACUGCAACGGUUCAACCA
Molecule: long non-coding RNA, 661 nt
Organism: Panicum virgatum (switchgrass)
Lineage: Eukaryota; Viridiplantae; Streptophyta; Magnoliopsida; Poales; Poaceae
Exons: 2
Source: RefSeq, a predicted model, not a curated record